GAUUUCCUCCUCUUCUUCGACCUCCUUUUCUCUUUCUCCCGCUCUUUCUUCCGUUUCCGCUUCAGUCUCCUGUGGGACUUCUCCUCAUCCGAAUCACUGUGAUGCUUCUCCCCCUUUUCUUUCCGGCUUCUCUCAGGCCCUCCGGAGGUAUCCUGGGUCUCCUCUGCCCCAUCAUCUUCCAAUUCACCUUCUUCCAACUCUCCAUCUUCCCUACAAACAAACCCCAAUCCCACCAUGAACACAGGGUUUGAGAGGAGACCUCCUAGGGCUCUGGGCUGGCCAAGGCUGACAGGAACCGAAGGCCUGACUGCUGUGAGCGAAGUGAGACCCUGGGAGGACAUGGGGGCCAUGGCCUCUUGUUCCAUCCCUUAUCCUCCCCCUGAAAGAACUGUGCUUGCUCCAGUCUAACCUGGCUGGGGGAGGGGUAGGAGUUUAAGGGCAUUACCACUAACACCGGGACACAUCUACGCCAGAUUUCCCAACAGAACUAGUGUUCUUAGAAGAAGAAACCGACAAGGUGCUGUGGUCACAUAAGCAGGAAGAGCCCCAUCUUGGGGAUUCAUAAUGCUUAACGCUGCACAACUUCCAGGAAGCCCCAUAGUCCAGAAACCCACACAGCUCUGCUGUGAAGCACUUGGGGCACUUCUAAACCUUGCUUGACCACAGAAGUCUCUCUCCCAGGGAGCACAGACCCACAUCCCCUCCCUCCCAGGCCCAGGAUUGCCUGCUGGGCCCCGGGCCCCAGUGAGCUGGGCGUCAGUGCCACCUGAGGCUGAGGGCGGUGGCUGUGCACCGUGGAGAGGGCCUUGGUUCUGAACCAGGGGUGGCCCCAAGCUACCUGGGACCCACCCACAGGCAGGCCUGGGCUGUGGCCUGAGAACCCUCCAAGUACUUUAUUACAAAAGCCCCAUGAGAACCGCUGGAAACAGGCUCAGAGUCCCAGGUCACAAGGUCUGACCCACCCUCGUCAGUCCCACACCUCUAGGCCGGAGGCAAGCAAACACUGAGCAGCUGGAGGAGGGGGGACGGAUCCCAGGCCCCUCCUGAGGGCCUCACAUGAUACCGGCCCUGCUUUCUCUCCCUCCUCUGACUCACCU
This 1097-nucleotide long non-coding RNA is filed under the name Homo sapiens (human). RNAcentral describes it as "HSALNT0260945". Lineage: Eukaryota; Metazoa; Chordata; Mammalia; Primates; Hominidae. The record is from RNAcentral.